Ahaetulla prasina is the source of this 3140-nucleotide long non-coding RNA. RefSeq lists it as uncharacterized. Lineage: Eukaryota; Metazoa; Chordata; Lepidosauria; Squamata; Colubridae. The record is from RefSeq and is a predicted model, not a curated record. The transcript has 4 exons.
CCGUUUAAGAGCCAUCGCCAAUGAUCUUUCUAUUGGAAACCGCUUGGCAGAGCUGGGUUCCUUAUUUCCUGCUCUGCUUCUUGAUCCUCAUGUCUUCAAUUGACUGAACACUAAACCCUGUGUGCCAUGUCUGGCUAUCAAGCAAGGCACACUCCCUAUAUUCCUCCAGAGGGUCUGCGCAUUGACACAGCAUAGCCAAAUCUCUGUCUGCCUUAAUAAUUGACUGCAAUAUUACUUGGCAACAAACCACUUGUAAACUGAGCCAGUUGCCUGCUCAGCCUUAAAGCAGGACAUAAAGCUUGCUGGAGCUUAAUGGAAUUUGGGAGUGGGCCAUCAUCCCUGCUGGGGCAGGAAGGCUCUCUCCUCUAGCCUGAUUCCUGAAUUUCAGCCUUCCUGCCAGCUUUAGAAGGAAGAUUCUGGCUUGACAGCUUUGCAGUUCCUAUUUACCUGCUCAGGGUUGAUGGAAACACCCCAUGUGCUCAAGCAGCUGCCCUUGAACCCAUCCAUCCUGCUCAGCCCUAACCCAUAGCUCAAAUUCCCCACAAAAAAAUCAGACAAGAAACAUGCCCUGUUCUGGACAUCUUCCCAGAAUCUCUAUAUGGGUGGCUGUGAGUGAAUAUUAACAUGUCAAGCAGCUUAUCACAGUUCAGCACAGAUGACAACUACCAGAGGUGUUCGGCAUACAGAUAGUCCUCAACUUAUGACCACAGUUGGGACCACAGAAUUCCAUUGCUAAGCAAGGUAGUUGCUGAGUGAAUUGUACCUGAUUUUAUGACCUUUUUUUCACCACAAAUGUUAAGUGAAUCAUUGCAGUUGCUAAGUGAAUCAUGUGAUUGUUAAGCGAAUCUGGCUUCCCCCAUUGACUUUGUCACGUCAAAAGCCAGUUGGGAAGGUCACAAAUGGUGAUUGCAUGACCCUGAAAUGCUGCUACCACUGAAAAUACAGGCCAGUUGCCAAGUGUCCAAAUUUUGAUCACGUGACCAUGGGAUACUGCGAUGGUCAUAAGAGUGAUAAUUGGUUGGAAGACACGUUUUUCAGUGCUGUGACUUUGAACAGUCACUAAACGAAUGGUUGUAAGUCGAGAACUAUUUGUAUGUGUAUAUAUGGAACAUACAAUACAUACUGGGGGUAAAGUAGAAAUAGAUGGGGCCUAAUGGCCAAAAUAGAAAUGCACCCUAUAGACCAGUGUUUCUCAGCUUUGGUAGCUUGAAGAUGUAUGGACUUCAAUGUCUAGAACAGAAGUCUAUAGAAAUACCUGUAGGUUUCUAUUAGAAGUCCCCAAAUGUUUCUGGUAAUUCUGAUGAUUAAUAUAUGCAUAGGUUCUAUUCCGGCAUGAUAAUCUGCUGAUUAUUACUGCAAAUCCACUCUAUUCAUUCAUAGUGUGAGCAAGGCUACUGUUGUGUCUCAUCCGCUUUCACCACAGCCGGGGCCUUCUUAUCUGCUUCCGAACACUGAGGAAUGUCCUAGCAUGCCUCCCGGCCCCAGCCCUGGCUCCAUGCCCAGACAGGCUGAGGAGGAAGAAGUACCUCCAGCCCCCAGCUCUGGCUCCAUGCCCAGGCAAACAGAGCAACUAGACCCCUCCCCCUCCCCCACAGCAUGUGAGCUUGAGGAAGGUCAAUUACCAACAGCUGCCGACUGGAGUGACCCUCGCUUCAGAAGAAUUGAUAGGCGGCGGCGACAGAAGGAAGGGAGGGGCAGGCCUGGAUAAGUGCUGAGUCAUGGAGCCACACCCCAUGGCCUAUAUAAAGGAUCUGCUUUCUGGCAUUCUCUGAGUCAGGCAAAGUCUAACAUAUCCUGCUGAAGUCACUUUCUGGUCUCCUGCCUGCCCUGAGGACUUUGCUAGGACUUUGGCAGAGCUGCAGAGGCACGCCUGAUUCAGAUUUCCCUGACCCGGCCGUCAGCGGAGGAGUGGGACACGACAGCUACAUUAUAUUCACCUAGCAACAUAAGACCGGUUUUACAGCUGCUGAAUUCUAUGUGUCGGGGUUAAGAUGCUGGCCUAGAAACUAAGGAACCUGAAUUCUAGUCCUGCCUGAGGCAUGAAAGCCAGUUGGUGACCUUGGGCCAGACACUCUCGCUCAGCCCAAUCCACCUGUUGUUGUGGGGAAAAUAGGAGGAUGAAGGAUAAUAGUAUACAGUAUGUUCUCCACAUUAAGUUACUUAUAAAGUAAUAAGGGCAAGAUAAAAAUCUAAUAAAUAAAUAAAUAAAUUCCUCAAAGAUUACAGAAUUCGACAGUGUAUUCUUCCUAGAGCCCAAGUCUCUUAUUUCUCUGGGACAGAGAUUAACACUUUAACUUCAUUAUGCAUGUACAAUACUGUAGCAGAGAUAUCGUCUGAGUCUAAAAUGUAACUAAAAUGUAGUUGAAAGUAUGGGAAUCAUGGAAUAUAUAUUUAUUGGGAACAAUCCCUUCUGAAAUCAUUGGGAUUUAGGGCUAAAUGUGAUCAUAUAGACGUCCAUUCUUUGUUGUCCUAAUUAUUGCUUUUAUUUCUUGUCUUAUCUGACCCGAUCUAGAAAAAAAAGUUUAUAUAUAUAUUUUGCCUUUCCAUAUAUAUAUGGAAAGGCAAAAUAUUUGCCUCCAGUCUUGUCCUUUAAAGAAAAAAAUCACAUCCACACACCCCAAAUAUAUAUGUAUUUAUGUGUUUGUGUUUGGUGCCACUAAAGUUUUUAAAAAUCCAGGUCUCUGCCAAGUGGGUUGAUUAAAAAAAAAACAGAGGGAGCAUUAGUCUCCUGAUCCUCAGUGAUCCCAGUCUGGAUUAAGUCACUGCAUGCUUAUACCAGAGAAAAUAAUACCACAGAAAUGGGCAGUGGGAUACACAUUUCCUGUAUCAUAUGCUUUAGAGCUUAGUUCCAAGUAAACAUUUGUAGCUUAACUUUUACUAGCCUGCUUGACAGAAUGUACCUUUAUAGUUAUACCCUUGACUGAGAAAAAACACCAGAGUUAUUGGCAUAUCAUAAAUGCAUUCUUUAGCUAUGAUGGAAGAAUAACAGUGGAAGUUCAGGAACCAGUAUCCUUUUGUCCCCUGAAUGCUGUCAAUUACUGUGAUCAGCAUACAGACAGGCUUGCUUACCAGUGGAUAAAAAAAAACACCCCACUGCCUUCAAUUCAAAAGGCAAUUUCCAAAUAAAAGCUGUCUAGCCA